RNAcentral lists this ribosomal RNA (478 nucleotides) under uncultured bacterium. RNAcentral's name for it is "partial 16S ribosomal RNA". It matches the Rfam family "Bacterial small subunit ribosomal RNA", at positions 28 to 523 of the family's 1533-position model. The record is from RNAcentral.
GACGAACGCUGGCGGCGUGCUUAACACAUGCAAGUCGAACGGUAAGGCCCUUCGGGGUACACGAGUGGCGAACGGGUGAGUAACACGUGGGUGAGCUGCCCUGCACUUCGGGAUAAGCCUGGGAAACGGGGUCUAAUACCGGAUAGGACUCCGGACUGCAUGGUCUGGGGUGGAAAGCUUUUGCGGUGUGGGAUGGGCCCGCGGCUUAGCAGCUUGUUGGUGGGGUGAUGGCCUACCAAGGCGACGACGGGUAGCCGGCCUGGGAGGGUGACCGGCCACACUGGGACUGAGAUACGGCCCAGACUCCUACGGGAGGCAGCAGUGGGGAAUAUUGCACAAUGGGCGCAAGCCUGAUGCAGCGACGCCGCGUGAGGGAUGACGGCCUUCGGGUUGUAAACCUCUUUCAGCAUCGACGAAGCGAAAGUGACGGUAGGUGCAGAAGAAGGACCGGCCAACUACGUGCCAGCCGCCGCAGUAA